AUGUAUUUGGCAGCACAUACACUAGAAUUAGUACAAUAAAGAGAAGAUUAGCAUGGGCCCUGGGCAAGGAUGACGCGCAAAUUUGUGACGCAUUCCAUAUUUUA
Chionomys nivalis (European snow vole) is the source of this 104-nucleotide small nuclear RNA. The record is from RefSeq and is a predicted model, not a curated record. NCBI's taxonomy places the organism in Eukaryota, Metazoa, Chordata, Mammalia, Rodentia, Cricetidae.